RNAcentral lists this ribosomal RNA (457 nucleotides) under uncultured bacterium. RNAcentral's name for it is "bacterial SSU rRNA". It matches the Rfam family "Bacterial small subunit ribosomal RNA", at positions 340 to 786 of the family's 1533-position model. The record is from RNAcentral.
UACGGGAGGCAGCAGUGGGGAAUAUUGCACAAUGGGCGAAAGCCUGAUGCAGCUAUGCCGCGUGUAUGAAGAAGGCCUUAGGGUUGUAAAGUACUUUCAUCGGGGAGGAAAAAACAAAACUAAUAAUUUUAUUUCUUGACGUUACCCGAAAAAGAAGCACCGGCUAACUCCGUGCCAGCAGCCGCGGUAAUACGGAGGGUGCUAGCGUUAAUCAGAAUUACUGGGCGUAAAGAGCACGUAGGUGGUUUUUUAAGUCAGAUGUGAAAUCCCUGGGCUUAACCUAGGAACUGCAUUUUGAAACUGAAAUACUAGAGUAUCGUAGAGGGAGGUAGAAUUCUAGGUGUAGCGGUGAAAUGCGUAGAUAUCUGGAGGAAUACCUGUGGCGAAAGCGGCCUCCUAAACGAAUACUGACACUGAGGGUGCGAAAAGCGUGGGGAGCAAACAGGGAUUAGAUACC